This 202-nucleotide unclassified non-coding RNA is filed under the name Hevea brasiliensis (rubber tree). The record is from RNAcentral. Lineage: Eukaryota; Viridiplantae; Streptophyta; Magnoliopsida; Malpighiales; Euphorbiaceae.
GGGUUCUUGAGCAAUGGAAAGACAGGGACUCAAUGCCAAGGUCUCAACUAACGGUUGCAAGGGUGAAAAUAUCUCCAGGAAGCGAAAAAUUGCAGAACAUAGAAAGUCACUCCCAGUAGCUUCCGUUGAAAAUCUGCUCAUACAAGAGGUGCAUAGAAACGAUACAUUGAUUAUCGUUGGUGAAACUGGGAGUGGAAAAACG